Molecule: long non-coding RNA, 409 nt
Organism: Crotalus tigris (Tiger rattlesnake)
Lineage: Eukaryota; Metazoa; Chordata; Lepidosauria; Squamata; Viperidae
Exons: 3
Source: RefSeq, a predicted model, not a curated record
GAAUGACUGUUGCUGUUGCGGUCAGCUUCGGUGGUUUCUUAAAGGAGAAGGACAGUAUUUUAAAAAGAACAAAUUGGGGAGAAGCAAACAUCCACGGGACGGAGCCCCGGUCAAUUAUUAUUGGCCGAAUCAGUUCGUCAAAGGGAAUAUCUGGCUGAGGAAGACCUGCCUGGACUGUCCCCUUCCCAGCUAGCCAAUCAGCCUGGGUCACUAUGGAAGGGAGAAGCAGAAGAUUACCUUGCAGAAUAUGGAAUAUGUAGAAUGUGAUCAUUUGCUGGAUGGAAAUCUUCAGUAACUUCCCAGAAAUGUCUCCCUGCUGAGAACCUCUGACAGCCAAGGACAUAUGGACAACGUUCAAAUCUCAUGCUGUUUGGGGAAGGAUAUAUUUGUUUACAUGGCUUAAUUCCUC